This 253-nucleotide ribosomal RNA is filed under the name uncultured bacterium. RNAcentral's name for it is "partial 16S ribosomal RNA". It matches the Rfam family "Bacterial small subunit ribosomal RNA", at positions 524 to 776 of the family's 1533-position model. The record is from RNAcentral.
UACAGAGGGUGCGAGCGUUGUUCGGAAUUACUGGGCGUAAAGCGCACGUAGGCGGCUUUGUAAGUCAGAGGUGAAAGCCCGGAGCUUAACUCCGGAAUUGCCUUUGAGACUGCAUCGCUUGAAUCCAGGAGAGGUGAGUGGAAUUCCGAGUGUAGAGGUGAAAUUCGUAGAUAUUCGGAAGAACACCAGUGGCGAAGGCGGCUCACUGGACUGGUAUUGACGCUGAGGUGCGAAAGCGUGGGGAGCAAACAGG